RNAcentral lists this long non-coding RNA (3529 nucleotides) under Homo sapiens (human). RNAcentral describes it as "HSALNT0174423". Lineage: Eukaryota; Metazoa; Chordata; Mammalia; Primates; Hominidae. The record is from RNAcentral.
GUGAGAUAUGACCUUCCUGGUACAGUCCGCUGGAAAAAGAGAAGAAAGCCUCGGAUGGGCAUGAGUGCAACUUUCUAAAUACAGUGUGCAGUGAUCAGUUCCCAAGGAUGGUUCUUACAAGGAGAAAAUCCAGAAACUAUCAAUUGGCUACCUUGAUGUGAUCCUCUUCAUGAGGAAGCUUGGACUUCUCCCUGCUUCACAGAUGGGUUACGAGAUAGUCCAGAGAAGCUGCAUUCUAAGAAGCAUUAUGACCUGUCUUCUUAGAAACAACACGGCAUCACUUUUACCACAUUCUUUUGGUCACAAGGAGAGGGAAUUACACAUCACCUGAUUUUGGAUGCAUGUGUGAGGUAUGCUACUGUACUCACAAGACAUCUGAAACUAUACCCAGAUCAUCUAGAAGUGAACAUGUUCCAGGUGAUGUCCCUAUGUAAACCAAGGGUUGGUUUUCAGUGUUCUGGAGGCUGGGAUGUCCAAGGUCAAGAUGCUGACAGAUUGAUUGUCCCUGGAAAGCCUGCUUCAUAGAUGACCAUCUUCUCCGUGUGUUCUCCCUGUGUUCUCAGGAGUGGGGUUACCUUUCUGGUGCCUCUUUUUCAUAAGGACACUAUUCCCGUUCCUGAGGGCUCCAUUCUCAUAACACAACAUCCAGAAGGUCCUACAUUCUAAUAUCAUCAUACUGCAGGUUAGAAUUUCAGCAUGUUAAUUUUGGUAUGACACAUUCAGUCUAUAGUAGCAACCCUCCCUUGAAACUCAAUGCUCUGUGAUGAGGUUCAGCGAAACCUAAAAGUAUAUCAUAUAAAGCUGAAAAGAAAAUAAAUUGGGACAACUGUUUUUGGAGGGGAAGCAAUUUAGCAUAAUGUGCUAAUAUGUAAGUAUUUAAAAACAUUUUCAUUUUUAGAAAAUAUUGCUAAAGGAAUUACGAAAUAUGUACACAAAAACUUAGCUACAUGGGUGUUAAGCACAAUAUUGUUUGCAAUAGGGAAAGGUUUAAAAAUGGAAAUAUCUAUGAAUAUCAGAUUAUUAAAUAAAUUAUGUUUUUCCCAUAUGAGGAUAUACUACAUAGGUAUUUAAAAAUGAAGCUGUGGAAUAGUCAUUUUAUUUGAUUAAGUUUUAGUUGUAUUUUAUUUAUAAUUCACACAUAAUAAUUAUACAUAUUUAAGGAAUACAGUGUGAUGUUUCCAUGCAUGUAUACAUUAUAUAACAAUUAAAUCAGGGUAAUUAGCAUACUUUAAACAUUUAUCAUGUUGUUGUGAUAACAUUCAAAAUUCUACCAGCUAUUUUGAAAUAUACAAUAUAUUGUUAUUAGCUAUAGUUACCCUGCAAUGGAAUAAAGUAUGAAUAGUCAUUUUAAAACUAUGCUCUGAAGAGGAUGCAGGUAUCUCAGGAACAUUUCAGUGAGUUUUUUAGGAGGUGAGUCGAAGCCAGGAUCCUCUGAGCUUUGCCCCAUUACCUUCACUUAACCAGAUCUGCUCUAUUUUAUCUCUUUGAUAUGCUGAGUUUCUGAGUAAAAUGCCUUUUGAAAAAAAAAUUGUUAUGUGUUGAUUUCUGUCCCCACAAAAGUUGUUGAGGUCCUAACACCCAGGGCCUGUGAAUGUGACAUGAUUUGGAAAUAGAGGCUUGCAGGUGAUCAAGUUAAUCAUUAUAGUGGGCUCUAAUCCAAUACAACUAUGUUUUUUAAAAAAUGAGAAUUUUGGAAACAGAAGCAAACACACAGGUAGACGACCAUGUGAAGAUAGAGGCAGAGUUCAGGGUAAUGCAUCAUAAGUCACAGAAAACCAAAGAUUGCCAGCAAACCAGCAGAAUCUGGGAGAAAAUAGUAUAAAGCAGACUUUUCUCAUAGCCUCAAGAAAGAACCAACUUUACCAACACCUUGGUUUUAGACUUCCAGCCUCCAGAGCUGUGAAAGAACACAUUUCUGUUGUGUAAGCCACCUUCGUUAAGGUUGUGGUACUUUGUUGCAGUAGCAGUUAGAAAGUAGUGCAUUUCUGGGCUGAAAGAAAGUUUGAUGCUCCUUUGUUACAAAGAGAUAUACAUAGUAAAUAUAUACACAAAUUAUUUGUGAACUCUUAAGUCAAUGAAUUUUUCCUCUUAAUAUUUUCUUUCUCUUGGUUUUCUCACUGUUAGUCCACCUAUUGAAUAAAUUGUGUUCAUUGUUUCAGGAGGAGCUAUGGUAAUGGUAAAAUAAUAGGGUUGUUCUUGAGCUCUGAGUUUGAAAUCAGUAUUUUCUAGUCCAUAGCUGAGGUCAGAAUGUAAACCUUCCACAAAUCAUUUAUCAUCCCACUCCAUCAAAACUCGGUGAAUACGAACAGACUCAUAUGGAUUAGGGGAAAUUCCAGAACAAGAAGUUCCCCUUUACCCUAAGUGCAGAUUAGAAGGACUCAAUUGUCUCUAGAAGCUUGUUGGGCAGGGAGCAUAAGGUUCAACCUGGGGUUAUAGGUGAGUAGUCAAGCCACAUCAUCAGAUCAUAAGACAUGAGAAUCCUGGCUGCUCUAGGUUAAUUGCUUUAUUUUUUUUUUCAGACAGAGUUUUGCUCUUGUUGCCUAGGCUGGAGUGCAAUGGCACCAUCUUGGCUCAUGGCAACCUCUGCCUCCAAGGUUCAAGCGAUUCUCCUGCCUCAGCCUCCCGAGUAGCUAGGAUUACAGGUGUGCAUCACCACACCUGGCGAAUUUUGUAUUGUUAGUAGAGAUGGGGUUUUGCCAUGUUGGUCAGGCUGGUCUCGAACUAUGGACCUCAGGUUAUCUGCCCGCCUCAGCCUCCCAAAGUGCUGGGAUUACAGGCAUCACCCACCACGCCCAGCCAGCUUUAUCUCUUGAAGCCUGUAAAGCUCUGUCUUCUGUGGCAUUUAAGUUGUUUGUGAGCAUUGUUGGGUAUGGUAGCAUGUAUUACUCACCAACAAAUAUUCCCUCCCCCUUACCCUCAGCUGUGAGAAGCAUGGAUUUCCUGCCUCAUCUAUUGUGAUUUUUGCCAUUGAAAGUAAUGGCAAAAUUAUUUUAAUAGCCAUUACUUUCGAUGGCAAAAACCAUGAUUACUUUUGAACCAGCCUAAUACAUUGGGCUCGACCAUGUGAUUUGCCACAGGCAAUUAAAUAUGCUGAGACAUGAGGGCACAUUUGAGCAAAAACUUUAAAUAUAUGUAAACUCUUGUUCUUCUGCCCUCUGCCAUGAGAAGAAUAUGUCUCAAGUAACCAUUCCUCUUUCAGCUUGGGUCCUCAUAUGAGAGAUGUAUGGAGAAAAUACCUAAAUCUAUCUUAUAACCUGGAGCAGAGCCACCACAGCUUCAGAUAUGUAACAAUUAUGGUGUUUACUCUCUUGAAUAAUUUUAUUUUGCUUAUUCAGAAACCUCAGCAAAUAAAAAUCUUUUUGGAAAACUUCUCUUGACAAUUGUGUGAAAUUUUACAGCUAUGCACAUGGCAACCCUCUGAUCAUCCUGUGUUUCAAGGAUAAUUUUUUGAUUUCACUAUGCAAGCCACAGUUUCUCUGCCUAUAAGGAAUUUAGCAAACUAUGAUCAUAAAUCCAGGGGCCCUUUUUU